GCGGGAAUAGCUCAGUUGGUAGAGCACGACCUUGCCAAGGUCGGGGUCGCCAGUUCGAAUCUGGUUUCCCGCUCCA
Molecule: transfer RNA, 76 nt
Filed under: Gammaproteobacteria bacterium
Lineage: Bacteria; Pseudomonadati; Pseudomonadota; Gammaproteobacteria
Also listed under: 2 other names
Description: tRNA-Gly
Rfam family: tRNA
About the family: Transfer RNA (tRNA) molecules are approximately 80 nucleotides in length.
Source: RNAcentral